Long non-coding RNA from Corapipo altera (White-ruffed manakin), 696 nucleotides. RefSeq lists it as uncharacterized. Lineage: Eukaryota; Metazoa; Chordata; Aves; Passeriformes; Pipridae. The record is from RefSeq and is a predicted model, not a curated record. The transcript has 2 exons.
UCGCCCUCUCCCUUUUCCAUCGCUGAUUGGCUGCGCGGGCUGUCACUCUGGCAAUCCUGCGUUCCUAUUGGCAGGGAGCGCGCUUCGCCCCGCCUUCCCCCGUCACCCCCAAGCCCUCAUGGCUGGUUGGAGCCCGGUCGCGUCGCGAUCGCUCGUGGGCUCUGAGGGGCCCCUCCUGCUUGUCCUUUAAGCCGCUGCUGCUCCAGUAGCGUCCCGAAUCCCUUCAGCAGCGGCUUAGCCGGCUCUGACGCAGGGCCCCCCCUUUUGGGGUGACCGAAGUGCUGAGGGACCCCCCGUGCCUCAUUCCCAGACCCAGAAGGCAGGAAAACGCUGCUCCAAGGGGGAUCCAGAGGUGUUUCCUUGCGAGUGAGCCAGUCCCAGGUCCAUCUCCACGCUCUCCUGGAGCCCCAGCAGCAGCUCCCACGUUCCAGCAGACCCCACACCCUCCCAAACAGGCAGCAGGUGAGUCCUGCACCCUCAGCCCUUCCCAAGGAAAAGGAGUGGGAGAGGUUUGCUCCUCUGGCAGGAGUGGUCAGCACGAAGCAGGAGGAGGAUGGGGACGACCCACGGCAGGGACAGGAGCUGAGGGACUCGGAGAUUGAAAGAGCUGCUGCUUCUGUUCUGGGGUUGAGGGUCUGGGGAAGAUCUGGAGAGUUUUCCCCAAAGAUUAAAUGUAGCUGUAAUGGAUUUAAAAAA